AGAGUUUGAUCAUGGCUCAGGAUGAACGCUGGCGGCGUGCCUAACACAUGCAAGUCGAACGUGAAGAUGCAGCAAUGUAUCUGAAAGUGGCGAACGGGUGAGUAACACGUAGGUGACCUACCCUGAAGUGGGGGAUAACCACUGGAAACGGUGGCUAAUACCGCAUAGGUCUGUGGGAAUGGGAAUUCCUGCAGGCAAAGCUUUAGUGCUUCAGGCGGGGCCUGCGUCCGAUUAGCUGGUUGGUGAGGUAAGAGCUCACCAAGGCGAUGAUCGGUAGCUGGUCUGAGAGGAUGAUCAGCCACACGGGAACUGAGACACGGUCCCGACUCCUACGGGGGGCAGCAGUGAGGAAUAUUGCACAAUGGGGGCAACCCUGAUGCAGCAACGCCGCGUGGAGGAUGAAGGUCUUUGGAUUGUAAACUCCUUUUCUGCGGGACGAGAGAGGACGGUACCGCAGGAAUAAGUC
Molecule: ribosomal RNA, 466 nt
Filed under: uncultured bacterium
Lineage: Bacteria
Description: bacterial SSU rRNA
Rfam family: Bacterial small subunit ribosomal RNA
Source: RNAcentral